RNAcentral lists this ribosomal RNA (530 nucleotides) under Synalpheus tenuispina. RNAcentral describes it as "partial 16S ribosomal RNA". It matches the Rfam family "Bacterial large subunit ribosomal RNA", at positions 1825 to 2621 of the family's 2925-position model. Lineage: Eukaryota; Metazoa; Arthropoda; Malacostraca; Decapoda; Alpheidae. The record is from RNAcentral.
GUCUGUGUGCAUUAAUAUUUAGUCUGGCCUGCCCACUGAAUAUUUAAAGGGCUGCGGUAAUUUGACCGUGCAAAGGUAGCAUAAUCAAUAGUCUCUUAAUUGGAGGCUUGAAUGAAAGGUUUGACGGAAAGAAAACUGUCUCUUUAGAUUGAUAUUGAAUUUAACUUUUGUGUGAAAAGGCAUUAAUGUUUUAGUGGGACGAUAAGACCCUAUAAAACUUGACAUAUAUUAUAUUAUCUCUUAGAGUUGUUAAGUGAAUAUAAGAUGAUUAAGUGUGUUUUGCUGGGGCGGCAUGAAUAUAAUUUGUAACUGUUCAUUAGAUGUAAUAUAGAUAAAUAGAUAUUGGUCCUUUAUUAAGGAGGUAAGAGUAAGUUACUUUAGGGAUAACAGCAUAAUUUUUCUUGAGAGUCCAUAUCGAAGGAAGUAGUUGUGACCUCGAUGUUGAAUUAAAUUUUCUUCUAAGUGCAGUAGUUUGGAGAGAGGGCCUGUUCGGCCUAUAAAUAUUUACAUGAUUUGAGUUCAAACCGGUG